This is a non-coding RNA of Theobroma cacao (cacao), 509 nucleotides long. The record is from RefSeq and is a predicted model, not a curated record. Lineage: Eukaryota; Viridiplantae; Streptophyta; Magnoliopsida; Malvales; Malvaceae.
CUCCCUCCACCAUGAAAAAAUCAAUUUUUUUUCAUUUUCUUUUCUUUGUUUUCUUUUCCUUUCCUUUGUUUUCGUACUUCUUUCUUCUCCUAACUUUUUGGGCACCAAACCUGCAGCUUCAAACACUAUUUUCUAGCACAACCAAACCCUAGGAGAGAGAAGGAAAAAUCUCUCUUUCUUUCAUUUAUUUUCUAUUUCUACCUCACCAUCACUAACAAUUGAAUUCUCAACUUUAAAUCUCCAUUUUAAGGCUAAAAGGUUUUUGUUGAUCUUUAUGCCUCCAAGGUCACCAAGCUUUCAGAUUCGAAGGUAGUUGAAUCCUAGGUAAAGGUGCUUCCUCUUGUUCAUCGUACGGUAGGUUUACCAAGACACUCCAUGAUAGUACCCACGCUAGAGUCACUCCACUGAUAGUCAAGGUCUUUUGUAUGUGUAUAUGGUUAUUUAAAUGUAAUUCGUGAGAUUUGUUGUAAACACUAUAUGUUUGGUUUGCAUGAUAAUGUCGCCAUAAG